GUAAACAAAAUAUGAGCACUGUCUAGUGAAACAUUUCAAAUUAUCAAAAUAAGUUGAAAUACAACUUUUGCAGAAGAUGAACAGAAAGAAAGCUUACGAUCACAAGAUUGUUGAAAAUCACAGAAUCAGCUUCUAUCUUUUGUCCUGCACUGCAAGGGAUGCUGCUUCCACUAUAGCAACCUUUCUUCUGCUGAAUCCCUGUACCCCGAUUUUCUAAAACAAAUGUAGAGUUUGGCUUCCCACUACUGAAGAGCACAGUCCAAAAGAAGGGCCCCUUGUGAACCCCAACC
Molecule: long non-coding RNA, 290 nt
Filed under: Fragaria vesca (wild strawberry)
Lineage: Eukaryota; Viridiplantae; Streptophyta; Magnoliopsida; Rosales; Rosaceae
Description: long non-coding RNA (FVES_LNC003760)
Source: RNAcentral